CAUUGAAACACUAGUUUCUGUAUGAUCACCGAAGUUAAGCAAUGUUGAACCUGGUCAGUACCUAGAUGGUUGACCUCUUGGGAAUACCAGGUGCUGUAAGC
This is a non-coding RNA of Acanthosepion pharaonis, 101 nucleotides long. The record is from the annotation of a GenBank genome assembly. Lineage: Eukaryota; Metazoa; Mollusca; Cephalopoda; Sepiida; Sepiidae.